CCAAACAGCGCUAAGGCAUCUACAGCAAAGCUCGAUUUCUGGUUUUGCUGAGGCUCAUGCUCACAGAUCAUGAAGACAGCCAGGCGGUGGAGGAAAUGAAGAGGCUUUCGAGGGAGGGGUGAGGGGGACACGGGCAGGUGCUGCUGGCAGUGAGUGGCUGCCUCUGCAGCUCGGAUGGCUUCUCCUGCUGCCUGCCGCCACUGCUGACCCUCGCCCAGGAGGCAGGUUGCCCAGAGGAACAAGACUUGGUGGAGGAGAAGAGGCAUCAGCUUCCCGUGGCCCCGUGUCUGCCUCUGGUAAACACCUCUGAGAAAAACUGCUUUGAGCUAACGGGCACCACUUGUCCCAAGAAUCCCCUGAAGGUCCUUGGGUGGGAUGAACUGGACCACUCACAGCAUUUGGGCCCUCAGAGCCAGCAAUGCCUCCCUGGAGAAUCUUGCCCGGUCGCUUUCACCAGGCAACAACAUCACCAUGAAGCCAGAGACCAGGUCUGUAGGACCCAGAGGGGAGGACUGGGCCCAGAAAAGGGGUCUGCAGGUGUAGGUGGGAUUGUGGCUGUGGAGAGAAACCAGAAGAUGCUCAGCUAUGGGGAGGGAGAAGCCCUGAGCUGGGCGAGCAGGCGCGGGGCAGGGAGCCCAGGGUACCUCAGUGGUGGUCACCAGGCAGCUGCAGCAGCUGGACUGACCUCGUCUCCCUCGGGUGCUCUCCCCAGCAUGAACACGGCAGCCACUGCCCUCUCAGGAUCCCUUGGUGUUGUGGGCCUCCUCUUGCUCCUGGUGGGUCUCUUGGUCAUGGUCUUGAAGAAAUGGAGGCACGAGAGUGAGUUGAGCAGCUGGCCCUGGACAUGGGAAUGCAGAAAGUGGGGAGCUGGGGGAGACGUGGGGUGUCUUUCCUGUGGGGCAGCCUUGACAGGGGAGGGGCACAGGGCAGGCUAUAGAGUCUUUCUCUAGAGUCACCAGGGACUCCUUACAUAGCAGCAGGAGUUUUUCAUCAUACAAAUUCUUCAUGCUGAAAGCCACAUAGAAGCCAUUUGCAUAUAGAUGCAUCAACUAAAAGAAAUACUGAUAGCAAGUGCUGUUAUCUACAUAACAGCAAAAUUACAAAAUGUACUCAUUCCCCUGUCUUCCUGGGAAAUUUACUUAGCCUCAGAGGCCCAUUGAGAAAGGGUUUUGCAUUUCACAGUUGAGCCUUAAACUCAGCAAUUUGACCUUGAGUUUAUUCAUUUUUCUAGGACUAUUUAAGAAUCAACUGAGACGUCAGACCAAUUUUCUCCACAAACCUUUGGUAAGGCAGUAAGUGAAGCCACAUACAGAGAGGGCCCUGGCCAUCUCUGCAUGUGGUUUCUUGGUGUUUCCUAGAUGGAACUGAAGUGGGUGACUGGUCAGGAAGCAAUGUGCUUGAAAACCCAGGGCUCUGCUCACCAGCCUAUAGGGAGAGCCAGGCACCUGGCUUUGUUUUUAGAAGUCCCCACUGCUUGACUAUCUAUUACUGUACUGUUUCUAAAGGAUUCUUCCUGCCAAGCUGAGGCUGUGUAUUGCAACGUGGCCCCCUGGAAAGAGGAAGACUUCACCAUCUAUGCCAAUAUGCCCCAAUUCGAUUGCCCCAGGAGGACAAGGAAGACACCAGACCAAGUGGAAUAUGCCUCUAUUGUAUUCCGCUGAUGGGACCUGGGGCACUGCGAGUGGCGGGGAAAGGACUCUGGAUCCAAACACCACUCCCGUUUUUGAUGUGUGAAUAUAUGUGUGUUUCUAAAAAAUGCACAAAACACUUGUGGGUGGAGGUUGAUGGCUAGGUAUUGCUUCUAACUUACUGGAGUCAAAGUUUGGUCCCAGUGGGAAGGAGUGACAUAGGAGACACAAAGACAUGCUUGUUCAUUGUUGUUGCCAGCUCUCCCCAAGUCCAGAGACAGGUUGUGAGAUGAAGGGGCCAGCAGCGUGCUCUCCCAAGGCAAAGGAGGUUGGGGUGAGGUGGUAGAUGCUUCCCAUCCAGGAUGUGGCUAUUCUGCCAUGCCUGGAAGUGACACCCUGUAGGACAGCAGACACACACUUGCGUAGGUGACACACGAUUGACUCUCUGCUGGACGGGAUGCCCCCAGUGGGGAGCAGGAGGGCUGCGGGUGCGUGGGAAGAGCUUCUUACUGGAGGACUUGGUGCCAUCUGGGAAAGAACUGGGGAAAGAACAAGAGGUAAGAAGUGGGCAGCACUCACUGCUAGCCUCGGGAUUUGGGGCGAUGCCUGGAACUUUGUAAUUGAUUUGCUCCUUUGUCCCCCCCAAAACAAAUCUGUGUUUAGCACUUCUGUGCUUAAGGUCCUGGAACUAUAACAAGGAACCCUACAGACAAAACAUUAUCAUCAUAGAGCGUACCAUCUAGAAUGAACAAAUGUACAAGCAAAUACCCAGCAUGUCAGGCGUUGUUAUGUCCUAUGGAGAAAAUAAAGCAGGUCAUUGGGUGGGAAGUGCUGGGUGGGAGCAGGUUUUGUACUGGACGGU
Molecule: long non-coding RNA, 2490 nt
Filed under: Chinchilla lanigera (long-tailed chinchilla)
Lineage: Eukaryota; Metazoa; Chordata; Mammalia; Rodentia; Chinchillidae
Description: lncRNA (ENSCLAG00000026582.1)
Source: RNAcentral